AAACGCUUGAAGUCAGUCGCGUCUGCCGGAACUCAGCCUUGCUUUUUGCUUGGUGCACUUUCCGGUUGACGGGCCAGCAUCGAUUUUGACCGUCGGAAAAGGGCUGGAGAAAUGUGGCACCUUCGGGUGUGUUAUAGUCUUCAGUCGUAUACGGCGGUUGGGAUCGAGGAACGCAGCGCGCCGCAAGGCAGGGGUUCGCCCACUAUCGCGCUUAGGAUGCUGGCGUAAUGGCUUUAAUCGA
RNAcentral lists this ribosomal RNA (241 nucleotides) under Perenniporia sp. Its description in RNAcentral is "partial large subunit ribosomal RNA". The record is from RNAcentral. Lineage: Eukaryota; Fungi; Basidiomycota; Agaricomycetes; Polyporales; Polyporaceae.